ACGGAAGGCAGCAGUGGGGAAUAUUGCACAAUGGGCGAAAGCCUGAUGCAGCGACGCCGCGUGAGCGAAGAAGUAUUUCGGUACGUAAAGCUCUAUCAGCAGGGAAGAAAAAUGACGGUACCUGACUAAGAAGCACCGGCUAAAUACGUGCCAGCAGCCGCGGUAAUACGUAUGGUGCAAGCGUUAUCCGGAUUUACUGGGUGUAAAGGGAGCGCAGGCGGUACGGCAAGUCUGAUGUGAAAGCCCGGGGCUCAACCCCGGUACUGCAUUGGAAACUGUCGAACUAGAGUGUCGGAGGGGUAAGUGGAAUUCCUAGUGUAGCGGUGAAAUGCGUAGAUAUUAGGAGGAACACCAGUGGCGAAGGCGGCUUACUGGACGAUCACUGACGCUGAGGCUCGAAAGCGUGGGGAGCAAACAGGAUUAGAUACCCUGGUA
RNAcentral lists this ribosomal RNA (435 nucleotides) under uncultured Lachnospiraceae bacterium. Its description in RNAcentral is "partial 16S ribosomal RNA". It matches the Rfam family "Bacterial small subunit ribosomal RNA", at positions 341 to 792 of the family's 1533-position model. Lineage: Bacteria; Bacillati; Bacillota; Clostridia; Lachnospirales; Lachnospiraceae. The record is from RNAcentral.